CAUUCACGGAGAGUUUGAUCCUGGCUCAGGACGAACGCUGGCGGCGUGCUUAACACAUGCAAGUCGAACGAUGAACCACCUUCGGGUGGGGAUUAGUGGCGAACGGGUGAGUAACACGUGGGCAAUCUGCCCUGCACUCUGGGACAAGCCCUGGAAACGGGGUCUAAUACCGGAUACUGAACCGUCUGGGCAUCCAGGCGGUUCGAAAGCUCCGGCGGUGCAGGAUGAGCCCGCGGCCUAUCAGCUUGUUGGUGAGGUAACGGCUCACCAAGGCGACGACGGGUAGCCGGCCUGAGAGGGCGACCGGCCACACUGGGACUGAGACACGGCCCAGACUCCUACGGGAGGCAGCAGUGGGGAAUAUUGCACAAUGGGCGAAAGCCUGAUGCAGCGACGCCGCGUGA
Molecule: ribosomal RNA, 404 nt
Filed under: Streptomyces sp. WAC 01420
Lineage: Bacteria; Bacillati; Actinomycetota; Actinomycetes; Kitasatosporales; Streptomycetaceae
Description: bacterial SSU rRNA
Rfam family: Bacterial small subunit ribosomal RNA
Source: RNAcentral